Molecule: ribosomal RNA, 254 nt
Filed under: uncultured bacterium
Lineage: Bacteria
Description: partial 16S ribosomal RNA
Rfam family: Bacterial small subunit ribosomal RNA
Source: RNAcentral
UACAGAGGGGGCAAGCGUUAUUCGGAAUUAUUGGGCGUAAAGGGCGCGUAGGCGGCUUGGCAAGUGGAUGGUGAAAUCCCUCGGCUUAACCGAGGAACUGCCGUCCAAAACUGCUUCGCUUGAGACCGGGAGAGGUGAGUGGAAUUCCCAGUGUAGCGGUGAAAUGCGUAGAUAUUGGGAGGAACACCAGUGGCGAAGGCGGCUCACUGGCCCGAUACUGACGCUGAGGCACGAAAGCGUGGGGAGCAAACAGG